AAGCUCAGCAUUCAGAUUUGCCCAAUGUCACUAUUAGGCCUCCAGACAUGCAGCUCACUAUAGCAACAGAGCCUACUGCAGAGGUGGGAAGUUCUCCAAUCCACCAGGAGGCUACAGCUCAGGUCUCAGGGCCAGGAAGUGAUGUAGAACCUUCUGCCACCCAGCAUGGUGGUGCACCUCUGCGUCCAGAGUCAUCAGAAGAUGCUGGACCUUUAGCAGGUCAACAGGAGACUUCAGUUCAAUCUCCAGAACCUGUUAAUAAUGAGAACCCCUCUCCAACCCAGCAGGAAGCUGCAGCUGAGCAUCCACAGACCCCUGAGGAGGCUGAGUCUUCUCCAGCCCAGCAAGAGGCCCAACCUCAGACUCCAGAUCCCCCUAAGGAGGUAGAACCUUCUCCAGUCCAGCAAGAGUUCCCAGCUGAGCCACCAGAGCCCCCUAAGGAGGUUGAACCAUCUGCAACCCAGCAGCAAGCCUCAGGUCAGCCUCCAAAGUCCACUGAAGAGGUCAGUCCUCCACCACAGCAGGAGAUACCAGCUCAGCCAUCAGAGCCACCUGAGAAGGUCAAACCAUCUCCAGUCCUACAGCAGACCCCAACUCAGCUUUUAGAGCCACCUAAAGAGGUAGAAUCCUCUCCAGUUCAGCAGGCAGGCCCUGCUCAGUCCUCAGAGGCCCCUGUGGUCAUAGAACCCUCUCGGACCCAGCAGAUGGCCCCAUCUUCACCUCCAGAGCUCCCUCAGGAAGUGGAACCAUCUCUUAACUCAGCAGGGGGUUCCAGCUCAGACUCCAGAGCCCCCUAUGGAGGCAGAACCUUCUCCAAUCCAGCAGGAGGCCACAGUUCAGACUCCAGAGCCCCCUAUGGAGGUAGAACCUUCAAGCCAGCAGCUGGUCCCAGCUCAGCAUCCAGAGUCACCUAAGGAGGUUGCAGCUCAACCUCCAGUGCAUGAGAUGACAAUUCCAAUAGCAGGCCAGGACCAAGCCCAGAUUCCAGUAUCACCCAGUGUCACAUUUCAACCUUUAGACCUGGGACUUACCGUCACUCCAAAAUCCACUAUGGAGGCUGAGUAUUCUACAACCCCAAGGAAGACUACAGCUCCUCCAAAACACCCUGAGGUGAUGCUUCCACCUCCUGACCAGGUUCAGGCUCAGCACACAAACCUAACAGGUCAUAGUUCAACCUUUGCACCUGGAACUUACCACAACUCCGCAACCAUGUUUUUUUCCUCCAACCAUGAAGAACUCAACUCAGCUUCCAGAGACACCUACAGAGGUUGCAGCUCAACCUCCAGCUCAUUAUGAGGUGACAAUUCCAACACCAGGUCAGGAUCAAGCUCAGCAUUCAACACUGUCCAGUGUCACAGUUCAGCCUUUGGGCCUGGGGCUUACCAUCACUCCAGAAUCCAUGACAGAGGUUGAACUUUCUCCAACCAUUCAGGAGACCCCAACUUAGCCUCCUAAGGAAGUUGUACCCCAACCUCCAGCAUAUCAAGGGGUAACAGUUCCAACACCAGGUCAGGAUCAAGCUCAGCAUCCAAUGUCACCCAGCGUUACAGCUCAACCUUUGGACCUGGGACUUACCAUCACUCCAGAACCCACUACAGAGGUUGAACAUUCUACACCCCUGAAGAAGAUUCCUCCCAAGCACCCUAAAGUGACACUUCCACAUCCAGACCAGGUUCAGACUCUCCAUUCGAACCUGACUCAAGUCACAGUUCAACCUUUGGAUCUGGAACUUACCUUAACUCCAGAAUCCACUAUGGAGGUUGAACCUUUUCCAACCAUGCAGAAGACCCCAACUCAGCCUCCAGAGCUACGUAAGGAGGUUGUAGCUCAACCUCCUGUGUAUUAUGAGACGUCCAUGCCAACACGAGGCCAGGAUCAAGCUCAGCAUCCAACAUCACCCAGAGUCACAGUUCAACCUUUGGAUCUGGGGCUUACCAUCACUCCAGAAUCCAUUACAAAGGUUGAACCGUCUACAGCCCUGAUGACUACAGCUCCUCCUCCAGAGCACCUUGAGGUGACACUUCCACCGCCAGACAAGGGUCAGGCUCAGCAUUCAAACCUGACUCAAGUCACAGUUCAACCUCUGGACCUGGAGCUUACCAUAACUAUAGAACCUACUAUAGAUGUUAAACCGUCUCCAACCACGGAGGAGACCUCAACUCAGUCUCCAGACCUGGGGCUUGCCAUCACUCCAGAACCCACUACAGAGAUUGGAUAUUCUACAGCCCUGGAGAAGACUAUAGCUCCACGUCCAGACCAGGUUCAGACUCAGCAUCGAAACCUGACUGAAGUCACAGGUCCACCUACUGAACUAGAACCUACUCAGGAUUCACUGGUGCAGUCUGAAAAUUACGCCCAAAAUAAGGCUUUAACUGCACCAGAGGAACAGAAGGCCUCCACAAGCACCAACAUAUGUGAUCUCUGUACCUGCGGAGAUGAGACGCUGUCGUGUAUCGAUCUCAGCCCAAAGCAGAGGCUCCGCUGAGUGCCUGUGCCAGAGCCCAACACCUACAAUGGCACCUUCACCAUCUUAAAUUUCCAAGGAAACUAUAUUUCUUACAUUGGUGAAGAUGUAUGGAAAGCAUACAGUUGGACUGAGAAACUGAAUCUUGGUUGCAAUUUACUGACAGAACUGAGCUUUGGAACCUUUCAGGCCUGGCACGGAAUGCAGUUUUUACACAAGUUGUCCGGAUUGAUGGCUUAUUUUAAAAAAUUUUCUUACUCACUUCAUUGGUUCUAAUAAUACAAGCUCCAUAAUUUUGGAAACUGAAUGACUCUGCAAUGUAGAAAGGCUAUACCUUGGCCCGGCGCGGUGGCUCACGCCUGUAAUCCCAGCACUUUGAGAGGCCGAGGCGGGCGGAUCACAGGAUGCCCGGGCAUUUGUAGAGAACACUGCCAAAGAAAAAAAGGCUCAGGAGUCCAGCCCCAAGGGAGCUGGAACAGCCUCACAUGGUGCAGGGGCCAAGAAGUUAGCCAAGAACUACUUCAUUUCCCACCCCCCAUCAAAUGAUGCCAAGGAGACUAACUCCGAAGAGGACUGAUGUAAAAUGCUUCUGCCCAGCAUGGGUGUUCACUGCACGAGAGCACUUGGCCAAGGGGGUGAGUGGGGCUGAAAAUCCUGCUCAGGCUCCAUGCUGAGCCACAUACAAAGUCUCCCCGAGACAUUGUGGGGCCCUUCUGGACAGACAUGGAGAGCUUCUGAAAGUCCCGCAUGCUUGGAAUUAUUUUCAAGACCCCAGGGUAGAAUGGAGGUUGCACUAUUCGGGCCGGCCACUCUCCUACUGGCUGACAGGAUGCUGCCCGAGAUGAAACAGGGUGUGUGUGCACCACGGAGUCAGUCCAAGACUCCUGUUCUCACUCAGGGAUUCUUCAUUUCUUCUUCCUAUUGCCUCCACUUCAUGUUAUUUUCUUCCCUUCCCAUUUACAAGUAAAACUGACCAGAGCCCCAGGAAUAAAUGGUUUUCUUGGCUUCCUCCUUGCUCCCAUCUGGACCCAGUCCCCUGGUUCCUGUUGGUCAUUUGCAAACCAAGAGGACCACAAUAAACAAAUCUCUAUUUUUUUUUUAAAUAUUAAAGCAUUC
This is a long non-coding RNA of Homo sapiens (human), 3580 nucleotides long. Ensembl annotates it as leucine rich repeat containing 37 member A11, pseudogene. Its record names the gene LRRC37A11P. Lineage: Eukaryota; Metazoa; Chordata; Mammalia; Primates; Hominidae. The record is from Ensembl.